GGAUCAAUUAAUCGGUCGUGCCUCCGGUACGCACUGGUUUUAUUGGUUCCUCCCUUCUGACGAAUCAUGAUGUCAUUAAUUUGAUGUCGUGGAGAAUCAGGACUGUUACCUUGAAAAAAUUAGAGUGUUUAAAGCAGGCUAACGCUUGAAUACAUUAGCAUGGAAUAAUGAAAUAGGACGUUCGACCCUAUUUUGUUGGUUUCUAGGAUCGACGUAAUGAUU
This 222-nucleotide ribosomal RNA is filed under the name uncultured Glomeromycotina. RNAcentral's name for it is "partial 18S ribosomal RNA". The stretch from base 38 to 222 matches the Rfam family "Eukaryotic small subunit ribosomal RNA", at positions 684 to 870 of the family's 1831-position model. Lineage: Eukaryota; Fungi; Glomeromycota. The record is from RNAcentral.